RNAcentral lists this ribosomal RNA (348 nucleotides) under uncultured bacterium. RNAcentral describes it as "bacterial SSU rRNA". It matches the Rfam family "Bacterial small subunit ribosomal RNA", at positions 121 to 487 of the family's 1533-position model. The record is from RNAcentral.
CUAAUCUACCCUUCGAGUAGUGGGAAUAACAUACGAGAAAUCUGAUGCUAAUACCGCAUAAUCAUCUGACACAGGAUCAAAGGAGUAAUCGCUGCUUGAGGAGGGGGUCGCGGCUGAUUAGCUAGUUGGCGGGGUAAUGGCCCACCAAGGACGAAGAUCGGUAUCCGGCCUGAGAGGGCGCACGGACACACUGGAACUGAAACACGGUCCAGACUCCUACGGGAGGCAGCAGUGGGGAAUUUUGCGCAAUGGGGGAAACCCUGACGCAGCAACGCCGCGUGGAGGAUGAAGUCCCUUGGUGUGUAAACUCCUUUCGAUCAGGACGAUCAAUGACGGUACUCGGUGGAA